GAGUGGAUCCUGAGUACGACGGAGCACGUGAAAUUCCGUCGGAAUCUGGGAGGACCAUCUCCUAAGGCUAAAUACUCUCUAGUGACCGAUAGUGAACCAGUACCGUGAGGGAAAGGUGAAAAGCACCCCGGAAGGGGAGUGAAAUAGAACCUGAAACCGUGUGCUUACAAGUAGUCAGAGCCCGUUAAUGGGUGAUGGCGUGCCUUUUGUAGAAUGAACCGGCGAGUUACGAUUUGAUGCAAGGUUAAGCAGUAAAUGUGGAGCCGUAGCGAAAGCGAGUCUGAAUAGGGCGUUUAGUAUUUGGUCGUAGACCCGAAACCAGGUGAUCUACCCUUGGUCAGGUUGAAGUUCAGGUAACACUGAAUGGAGGACCGAACCGACUUACGUUGAAAAGUGAGCGGAUGAACUGAGGGUAGCGGAGAAAUUCCAAUCGAACCUGGAGAUAGCUGGUUCUCUCCGAAAUAGCUUUAGGGCUAGCCUCAAGUGAUGAUUAUUGGAGGUAGAGCACUGUUUGGACGAGGGGCCCCUCUCGGGUUACCGAAUUCAGACAAACUCCGAAUGCCAAUUAAUUUAACUUGGGAGUCAGAACAUGGGUGAUAAGGUCCGUGUUCGAAAGGGAAACAGCCCAGACCACCAGCUAAGGUCCCAAAAUAUAUGUUAAGUGGAAAAGGAUGUGGCGUUGCCCAGACAACUAGGAUGUUGGCUUAGAAGCAGCCAUCAUUUAAAGAGUGCGUAAUAGCUCACUAGUCGAGUGACACUGCGCCGAAAAUGUACCGGGGCUAAACAUAUUACCGAAGCUGUGGAUUGUCCUUUGGACAAUGGUAGGAGAGCGUUCUAAGGGCGUUGAAGCAUGAUCGUAAGGACAUGUGGAGCGCUUAGAAGUGAGAAUGCCGGUGUGAGUAGCGAAAGACGGGUGAGAAUCCCGUCCACCGAUUGACUAAGGUUUCCAGAGGAAGGCUCGUCCGCUCUGGGUUAGUCGGGUCCUAAGCUGAGGCCGACAGGCGUAGGCGAUGGAUAACAGGUUGAUAUUCCUGUACCACCUAUAAUCGUUUUAAUCGAUGGGGGGACGCAGUAGGAUAGGCGAAGCGUGCGAUUGGAUUGCACGUCUAAGCAGUAAGGCUGAGUAUUAGGCAAAUCCGGUACUCGUUAAGGCUGAGCUGUGAUGGGGAGAAGACAUUGUGUCUUCGAGUCGUUGAUUUCACACUGCCGAGAAAAGCCUCUAGAUAGAAAAUAGGUGCCCGUACCGCAAACCGACACAGGUAGUCAAGAUGAGAAUUCUAAGGUGAGCGAGCGAACUCUCGUUAAGGAACUCGGCAAAAUGACCCCGUAACUUCGGGAGAAGGGGUGCUCUUUAGGGUUAACGCCCAGAAGAGCCGCAGUGAAUAGGCCCAAGCGACUGUUUAUCAAAAACACAGGUCUCUGCUAAACCGUAAGGUGAUGUAUAGGGGCUGACGCCUGCCCGGUGCUGGAAGGUUAAGAGGAGUGGUUAGCUUCUGCGAAGCUACGAAUCGAAGCCCCAGUAAACGGCGGCCGUAACUAUAACGGUCCUAAGGUAGCGAAAUUCCUUGUCGGGUAAGUUCCGACCCGCACGAAAGGCGUAACGAUUUGGGCACUGUCUCAACGAGAGACUCGGUGAAAUCAUAGUACCUGUGAAGAUGCAGGUUACCCGCGACAGGACGGAAAGACCCCGUGGAGCUUUACUGUAGCCUGAUAUUGAAAUUCGGCACAGCUUGUACAGGAUAGGUAGGAGCCUUUGAAACGUGAGCGCUAGCUUACGUGGAGGCGCUGGUGGGAUACUACCCUAGCUGUGUUGGCUUUCUAACCCGCACCACUUAUCGUGGUGGGAGACAGUGUCAGGCGGGCAGUUUGACUGGGGCGGUCGCCUCCUAAAAGGUAACGGAGGCGCUCAAAGGUUCCCUCAGAAUGGUUGGAAAUCAUUCAUAGAGUGUAAAGGCAUAAGGGAGCUUGACUGCGAGACCUACAAGUCGAGCAGGGUCGAAAGACGGACUUAGUGAUCCGGUGGUUCCGCAUGGAAGGGCCAUCGCUCAACGGAUAAAAGCUACCCCGGGGAUAACAGGCUUAUCUCCCCCAAGAGUUCACAUCGACGGGGAGGUUUGGCACCUCGAUGUCGGCUCAUCGCAUCCUGGGGCUGUAGUCGGUCCCAAGGGUUGGGCUGUUCGCCCAUUAAAGCGGUACGCGAGCUGGGUUCAGAACGUCGUGAGACAGUUCGGUCCCUAUCCGUCGUGGGCGUAGGAAAUUUGAGAGGAGCUGUCCUUAGUACGAGAGGACCGGGAUGGACAUACCUCUGGUGUACCAGUUGUCGU
RNAcentral lists this ribosomal RNA (2324 nucleotides) under Staphylococcus aureus. RNAcentral describes it as "partial 23S ribosomal RNA". It matches the Rfam family "Bacterial large subunit ribosomal RNA", at positions 399 to 2727 of the family's 2925-position model. Lineage: Bacteria; Bacillati; Bacillota; Bacilli; Caryophanales; Staphylococcaceae. The record is from RNAcentral.